This 428-nucleotide ribosomal RNA is filed under the name uncultured prokaryote. RNAcentral's name for it is "bacterial SSU rRNA". It matches the Rfam family "Bacterial small subunit ribosomal RNA", at positions 355 to 774 of the family's 1533-position model. The record is from RNAcentral.
UGGGGAAUAUUGGGCAAUGGGCGAAAGCCUGACCCAGCGACGCCGCGUGGGUGAUGAAGGCCUUCGGGUUGUAAAGCCCUGUCAUGCGGAAAGAACAGUCUUGUAGUGAAUAACUGCAAGAUUUGACGGUACCGCAGGAGGAAGCACCGGCUAACUCCGUGCCAGCAGCCGCGGUAAUACAGAGGUCCCAAGCGUUGUUCGGAUUCACUGGGCGUAAAGGGUGCGUAGGUGGCGGUGGAAGUUUGGUGUGAAAUCUCCGGGCUCAACCCGGAAAAGGCAUUAAAUACUCCAUCGCGCGAGGACUGGAGGGGAGACUGGAAUUCUCGGUGUAGCGGUGAAAUGCGUAGAUAUCGAGAGGAACACCAGUGGCGAAGGCGAGUCUCUGGACAGUCCCUGACACUGAGGCACGAAAGCUAGGGGAGCAAACA